UCAAAGAAUACUGGGAAAGGUAACUGAGUCAGAGGAAGUGAAGAGAAGGUUAGGAGGGGAAAGUGUGGUGACAGAGAAAAAGUACCAAGAGAUGUAUGUGAAUAGUCCAGGGAAAGGUGUGGUUGAUAAGCUUAAAGGUAUGGUUGGGACAUGGUUUACCAACCCAGCAGAGAAUCAAUCUUCACAAGAUUUAUCUAUGAAUUAUGAGGCAGGAAGGGCAGAAGUGGAACAAGUUAACCAAGGUGCAGCAGGUGAAAGAAGGCAGCAGGAGUCAUCUAAUUGAAGAAGGGCUUUGAAGGAGUCUUUGCUUUGGGUGAUUGUGUAGAUUUUCUUAAAAGCUGUUUCUAUAUCUGUGUGUCUAGUUCUUUCUUGGAAGAAAGUUAGGAUGUUCAAGUCACAGUAAAAUAAAUAUUUGUGUUUUUUUUAAUGUUUAUGUAAAUAUCCAAUUUUAUCCGGGUUUA
Molecule: long non-coding RNA, 461 nt
Organism: Glycine soja
Lineage: Eukaryota; Viridiplantae; Streptophyta; Magnoliopsida; Fabales; Fabaceae
Exons: 2
Source: RefSeq, a predicted model, not a curated record